UUCUCUUCUCUGACGUUCGGCUAAGAUCAAGUGUAGUAUCCAUUCUUAUCAGUCUGCUAUCUAAUACAUCCCCUAACUGGAGAACAUGAAAUAGAUUUGUGGAACAGGGUAAAAAAAUAAAAAAUCCUUCCAUUUUUUGCGAGGACACAUCCUCUGUGGUCUGUGAGUGGAAAUGUGUCUUAUGUUG
This is a small nuclear RNA of 187 nucleotides. Its record names the gene U2. It matches the Rfam family "U2 spliceosomal RNA". Rfam says of the family: U2 is a small nuclear RNA (snRNA) component of the spliceosome (involved in pre-mRNA splicing). Complementary binding between U2 snRNA (in an area lying towards the 5' end but 3' to hairpin I) and the branchpoint sequence (BPS) of the intron results the bulging out of an unpaired adenosine, on the BPS, which initiates a nucleophilic attack at the intronic 5' splice site, thus starting the first of two transesterification reactions that mediate splicing. The record is from Ensembl.